AACGGCAAACUGAUAGUGGCAAACGGUCAACCAUUUAAUUAAAUUUCAGCUCAACGGUCACUUGGACCAAUCAAAACGGUUAACCGAUAACGUUUAACGACGAUCCAAUUUCGUGCAGAAAGUCAACAACGGCUAUAUUUCAGUUCCAACUAUAAAUAAACUCAAUCAAAUUCACAUAAAGGUUGAUCACAACGUUAUCAUUGAGCUUAUAAUCGAGAAUACAACAUCCAUUGAGCUUCAAAUUCAUUCUUGUUUCAUUUAUUCACACAUUGGGCAUUGAUUUGUAAUCAUAUAUAUUGUGUGAGAGAAAAACAAAUUUGUAAUCUUCGUUUUGAAUGAUUGGAAGUGUUGGGAUACAUUUGGGUUAAGAGAUUGGAGAUAAUCUCUUGGUGUAAAGGUUGAUUGACACAUUUGAAGUCAAUUGUAAGUGUUCUUGAAGCCUUGAAAGCUUAACUAGUGGAAUCCUUAAGCCUGGUGUGCUUGGAGGCAUGGACGUAGGCGAGGUUGGCCGAACCACGUAAAAAUCUCUGUGUUUGAAUCUCUCUUCCCUUAUCUUUUUACAUUUUGGUUGAUUUACUUAUUGUUGCUUGAAAUUUGUUUCAUAUUUGAGUUAAGUUUUGUUUAAGUUCUGCAAAAUUUUUAGAACCCAAUUCACCCCCGUCUUGGGUUGCUUAGAUAGUAUUUUAAUUUAAACAAAAUUAUUUUUCUUGAUGUUGAUCAAGCCAAAACAAAUAAAAAGAUACUCUUAUAUUACUAGACUCAUAUAAAAUAUCGAUAAAAUUACAUCUAAUUUUCACUUUUAUACAUAUUUCAUAUUAUUUUAAACUUUACUUCUUACUUAAACUAAAAUAUCAUUUGGGCUUGCUAUCGAGGAUGCUUAGAAGGAUGCAUAAUUACUUAUCUUUUAAUUAGUUUUGAGGAAUACGAAAAGAACAGUUUUUCAAAAAUUU
This 950-nucleotide long non-coding RNA is filed under the name Citrus x clementina. Its description in RNAcentral is "Citrus clementina (C. clementina) long non-coding RNA (CCLE_LNC000395)". Lineage: Eukaryota; Viridiplantae; Streptophyta; Magnoliopsida; Sapindales; Rutaceae. The record is from RNAcentral.